Odocoileus virginianus texanus is the source of this 315-nucleotide non-coding RNA. NCBI's taxonomy places the organism in Eukaryota, Metazoa, Chordata, Mammalia, Artiodactyla, Cervidae. The record is from RefSeq and is a predicted model, not a curated record.
GGUGUAGUCUCCAUUCUGAUGCAUGAGUUCAAACAGCUCUGAGUCCAGGAUCUGGUUUGAAUGGAGAAAGGGCGCUGGACUGAAUAGGGCAGGGCUGUACCCUGCAGCCCCACCCAUUUCUCUGGGAUGUCCUCUUUGGAAUGAUGCCAUUUUCUGGGUGAUUUCAUCAUUGGCCACACUACUCGCCAGAACGCUCACAAGCAUAAGCAUUCAUACACCAACACUCCUCCUCAACUGCUUGGAUCGGCCCAGGCCCAGUCCCACCGCCCUCUCCUCACCAUUGUCCAGGACGACCAGGAGAGGUGCCAGCAGGUC